UAUAAGACCAGGCCCGAUUGUAAGUUUUGGCCCAGCAACGGAAUAAACAAAGCAAUAAUAAAACUAUGGACGUCAAAACAGAUCCUAAUUCAACCUAAGGACAGCAGAAAAAGCAGAGACGGAAGUUUCUAGAAUCCAUUAAUGCUGCUGUUGUUUUUGCCCAAUCAACAAAAUGACUUUUCAUCGCCUUGUCACUUCAGCUUUCCUUUCUUCUUCAAGACGCAUACACACUCUCGAGGGAACAUUAAUUUCAACCUUUCCUUACCAGCCCUCAUUCAGAUUUACCCCAUUUCAUCUUCUACCUUCCUGAUCAAUCCGACUCUCCCUCUCUAUCCCUUUCCUCUUGAUCUUCUGCAUAUUCAGGGACUCCCCCAACCAGGCACAUACCUGUGAUUUAUCUGGGAUACUUGACUUGCACUUUUUUAUUAUCGAUAAUGAGUCUCCUUCGAUAAUAAUUUUUUCCCAUUUCCUUUCUAUGUCGAUUUUGGUCGCUUUCCGGCAUGCGAGCGCCUCAGCCGCAAAGGCUGAUGUAAAAUUUGUGUAUUCUUAUUUUUCCUUUUCUUAUUGCUUUGCGAUUAUUCUGGUACCAUUAUCGUCUUCUAUUAUAACAAUUAACAUUGUUAAUAUUUUGGUUAAAAUAUUGACUUAAAUUUUUCUUCAAAA
Gossypium raimondii (Peruvian cotton) is the source of this 663-nucleotide long non-coding RNA. RefSeq lists it as uncharacterized. NCBI's taxonomy places the organism in Eukaryota, Viridiplantae, Streptophyta, Magnoliopsida, Malvales, Malvaceae. The transcript has 2 exons. The record is from RefSeq and is a predicted model, not a curated record.